Molecule: long non-coding RNA, 1589 nt
Filed under: Triticum aestivum (bread wheat)
Lineage: Eukaryota; Viridiplantae; Streptophyta; Magnoliopsida; Poales; Poaceae
Description: long non-coding RNA (TAES_LNC007785)
Source: RNAcentral
AGCACACUCGAGGAUCUCCGCGCUUUCCUCAACUUCAACCGGGACUUUAUGUGUGUCUUGCCGCUGCAGAUCUUGGUAUGUGCCUGUUUACCUACGUGUAUGUGCCUGCCUUGCCCCUACCGAUCUCUCCUCACUAACUGCCCAUCCAUCCUGCUCUUUGGCGCUCAACAGGAGGAUAGCUUGGUGCUCCCGCAAGCAAUUUGGGCUUCUAUCUUGAUGUAAGCAGUCACUAUCCCCUUCUCGGCUUCCAUUCAAAAUCACCUUGUUUCUAAGAUUAUUUGGGUUGUCAGCAGUUAAUAACUACUGUUACCUUCAACUAUAGUAGUAAAGGAAAAUGUAAAUGGUUAAUGUAGACACUUGUGUAUGUGGCUUUGCUUCAAACAGAAUAAGGCAAGCAGCAUUGUUAUGACCCCAAAAGGAUAGUUAAUGUGUGAUGUAAAUAAUUUACCUUUGGAUGAUAUGAAGAGAGGGCCACUCUGAAAUAUACGUGGUUAUGAGGUAAUUCGUUGCUAUGUGAUGCAUCGUUUGGUCCUGCUCCAGUGUUGUUUUGCCUUCUUUUACUCGGCUCAUGUUGCGUUUGGCUUGGAGACUACUGAAAUGGAAAUGUGUUGGAGCGAUUAUGUGUUGCAGGUAAAGAAACAAAUUUUCAUUUCGUUCGGCUUGCUAUUAAUUGUCACUUGCGUACACAUGAUUAGGUUGGUCACGGAUUUGUGCAGCUAGCUAGCAUUGCUAAUAUUGUGUGCUGCUCCAGAAAUAGAUCAAGUGAUACUUUAAAUUUUGUUCGUCUAAUGAUUUUUUUUGUUAUUUCCUUUUGAAUGCUUAGCCAUGCUCUGUUUCACUCGUGUGAAACUCAAGAUUUGAUAGUAGCACAUAAAUCAUGAUUUGACAAACAGUUUAAUUCCUAUAUUUUAGUAUAUCUUAUUAUCUUUUUUAUUUCUGUUCCUGAACUGAACUUUGGCCUUUUCUACAAAAUUAUAAGAGCAAUGAUGGUUCAGACAAAUGAUUAUGGUUGCUUAUUUAUUUUCUUGGUGUUAGAUUACUAAUGUAGAGGAAUAUAAUUAUAUGACUUUACCAUUAUUAUCAGGUGAGGAAGUGAUAGGUUUGGAAAAUGACAAUAGUUACCUAUCUCUCAUUCUCAUCUCUACUGUAUUCAUGUAAAUGCCCAUGUCUUUUUCCAUUAUUAUCAGUUGAUAUGUUCUUCAUUGCACAGAAAUCAUUCUUACCAUACUAUCAGAUAUUAUUAGCACAUGCUCUUUUGAGGGAAAUGGGGAUGGCACUAUCUCUCGGUCUUCUGCACAGAAAUAUUUAGAGUACAUUAUCUUUCAUCUUUCUGAUUAUAAAUUGUUGGAAUUUCUUAUGCUUUCAGGGAUGCAACUUGAUGUUUUAUUGUUGCCUUUUGAGGGAAAUGGGGAUGGCACUAUCUUUCAGUCUUCCUAAUUAGAUAUAAGCAACUGCUUACCCACACCGUAUAACUUCGGUUUGUUCCCUCACUGCAGCGUUACUCUGUUCCAUACACUAAGAAGCGUGAAGUGUGCCGGUUGCCACUCGCGUUGCUGCUCUCCCUGGAGGCGUCGUCAUCGACUGGAGGA